GAUGAAGAACGUAGCGAAAUGCGAUAAGUAAUGUGAAUUGCAGAAUUCAGUGAAUCAUAGAAUCUUUGAACGCACCUUGCACCCUUUGGCAUUCCGAAGGGUAUGCUCGUUUGAGUGUCAUUGUACUCUCACACUCUCCGAUCCUAUGGAUUCGGGGAGCGGUGGACUUGGGUGUUGCUGCCUUUCCCUGUGGCUCACCUCAAAUGCGUCAGUGCACCUCUUGGUUGGACAUAGUACGGCGUGAUAAGUGUCUUCGCCGGCACCUCGCAAGAGGGUGGCCGAUCGGGAGCUCUGCGCUUUCAAACCGUCUUCGGACAAUUUCUGACAUCUUGACCUCAAAUCGAGUAGGACUACCCGCUGAACUUAAGCAUAUCAAUAAGCGGAGGA
This 387-nucleotide unclassified non-coding RNA is filed under the name soil metagenome. RNAcentral's name for it is "partial contains 5.8S ribosomal RNA, internal transcribed spacer 2, and large subunit ribosomal RNA". The stretch from base 1 to 120 matches the Rfam family "5.8S ribosomal RNA", at positions 35 to 154 of the family's 154-position model. The record is from RNAcentral.